CGAGGAUAAGGAGAACAAGUCCCUGGGGCUGUCCCCAGGGCUGGUUGGGGCGCGCGGCUGGGAGGCGCCCUGCCACCGCCAGGAUGCGCUCGGUGUAGCGGGACUGCCGGGGGGCGCCUGAAGGCCAGCGCUCCAAGGACACGCGGCCACCCGCUCCUCACGGGCUCCCGGGCCCAGACGCCCCGCAGCGCCGGAGCCGAGCCGCGGGGAGUGCGGGCGAAGGGUGGCAGGAGGGAGGGCGCGCGCGAGGCGGCCCCUCCUCGGCGAGCCAUGCGUGCCACGGGCCGCUGAGGAGCCGCCGGGCGCCGCUGCCAAGUCUCCGCUCCGCUUUUGUCUUGCCCUCCAGUGAAUGGGAAGAUGGAGAUGGAUGUGGAGGGAGUUUCUCCGCGCCCGGAGCCCAUCCCCCGCUCCCAGGGGGCUGGCGGAGCCAGCCAGGCGCCGCCACAACCGCCCCAGCCCCAGCCGCAGCCCCAGCAGCAGCUGGCUCAGGAUGAAGUGCCCGGCGAGAGUGCGGGUGCUGAGGACAGCGACGAUCUGGAGGCGAGACCCAACGGCGAGAGGGGGGAGAGCAAGUAUUCCAGUGACAGAAUCCACUCAAGAGAGUUGGGACCGAGGUUAUCAAGGAGCUGAGUUCUGA
Molecule: long non-coding RNA, 637 nt
Filed under: Mus spicilegus (steppe mouse)
Lineage: Eukaryota; Metazoa; Chordata; Mammalia; Rodentia; Muridae
Description: lncRNA (ENSMSIG00000005792.1)
Source: RNAcentral